AAUAUGGGACAAUGGGGGCAACCCUGAUCCAGCCAUGCCGCGUGUUUUAAGAAUGUCNNNGGAUUNUAAAGCACUUUACUUUGNGAGNAAGGUCUUUAGGCUAAUACCCGCAAGUUUUGACGAUACCAACAGAAUUAGCACCGGCUAACUCUGUGCCAGCAGCCUCGGUAAUACAGAGGGUGCAAGCGUUAAUCGGAAUUACUGGGCGUAAAGCGGGCGUAGGUGGUUCAGUAAGAUGGGUGGGAAAUCCCCGGGCUUAACCUGGGAACUGCUUUCAUAACUGCUGAGCUAGAGUACGGUAGAGGGUAGUGGAAUUUCCUGUGUAGCGGUGAAAUGCGUAGGUAUAGGAAGGAACACCAGUGGCGAAGGCGACUACCUGGACUGAUACUGACACUGAGGUGCGAAAGCGUGGGGAGCAAAC
Molecule: ribosomal RNA, 421 nt
Filed under: uncultured bacterium
Lineage: Bacteria
Description: partial 16S ribosomal RNA
Rfam family: Bacterial small subunit ribosomal RNA
Source: RNAcentral